Molecule: ribosomal RNA, 470 nt
Filed under: uncultured Pelotomaculum sp.
Lineage: Bacteria; Bacillati; Bacillota; Clostridia; Eubacteriales; Desulfotomaculaceae
Description: bacterial SSU rRNA
Rfam family: Bacterial small subunit ribosomal RNA
Source: RNAcentral
ACGGGGCCCGCACAAGCGGUGGAGCAUGUGGUUAAUUCGACGCAACGCGAAGAACCUUACCAGGGCUUGACACUCCCUGACCGCGUAUGAAAGUACGUUUUCACCCUCGGGUGACAGGGAGACAGGUGGUGCAUGGUUGUCGUCAGCUCGUGUCGUGAGAUGUUGGGUUAAGUCCCGCAACGAGCGCAACCCCUACGUUUAGUUGCUAACGCGUGAAGGCGAGCACUCUAGACGAACUGCCGUUGACAAAACGGAGGAAGGUGGGAUGACGUCAAAUCAUCAUGCCCCUUAUGUUCUGGGCUACACACGUGCUACAAUGGCCGGUACAGACGGACGCAAAGCCGCGAGGUGGAGCAAAUCCUAAAAAGCCGGUCUCAGUUCGGAUUGCAGGCUGCAAUUCGCCUGCAUGAAGUCGGAAUCGCUAGUAAUCGCAGGUCAGCAUACUGCGGUCGAAUACGUUCCCGGGCCUU